Molecule: long non-coding RNA, 323 nt
Organism: Amphimedon queenslandica
Lineage: Eukaryota; Metazoa; Porifera; Demospongiae; Haplosclerida; Niphatidae
Exons: 4
Source: RefSeq, a predicted model, not a curated record
ACCCACCCUCGUCGUAUCUGAAAUUUUGAAGACAACAUACAUUAGGAUCAAGAGACUAUUGUUGUACCUGUUACUGAUGAUCAAGUCAAAGAGACUGCUCUUAUGCAUAGUAUGUCAAAGGAAGAACCUUCAAUUCAAAAACAGAAUGAGAAACAGAAAAGACUUGCAAGUAAAGAAACUAGCACAGAUAUAGGAGAAAUGGUAAACUCACUGUAAACACACAUAUUAUUCAACCACACAAACUAGAGUGAUGAAGAUGUACUAAAAAUAGUAAAAGUGGAACGUUCAGAAACAACAAAGAGUCAGGAUGCUAAUGGUGCAUU